This 368-nucleotide ribosomal RNA is filed under the name uncultured bacterium. Its description in RNAcentral is "bacterial SSU rRNA". It matches the Rfam family "Bacterial small subunit ribosomal RNA", at positions 28 to 393 of the family's 1533-position model. The record is from RNAcentral.
AUUGAACGCUGGCGGCAUGCUUUACACAUGCAAGUCGAACGGCAGCGGGGGCUUCGGCCUGCCGGCGAGUGGCGAACGGGUGAGUAAUGCAUCGGAACGUGCCCAUGUUGUGGGGGGAUAACUACGCGAAAGCGUAGCUAAUACCGCAUAAGCCCUGAGGGGGAAAGCGGGGGGAUUCUUCGGAACCUCGUGCGAUUGGGAGCGGCCGAUGUCGGAUUAGCUAGUAGGUGAGGUAAAGGCUCACCUAGGCGACGAUCCGUAGCGGGUCUGAGAGGAUGAUCCGCCACACUGGGACUGAGACACGGCCCAGACUCCUACGGGAGGCAGCAGUGGGGAAUUUUGGCAAUGGGCGCAAGCCUGAUCCAGCC